This 291-nucleotide ribosomal RNA is filed under the name uncultured bacterium. RNAcentral describes it as "partial 16S ribosomal RNA". It matches the Rfam family "Bacterial small subunit ribosomal RNA", at positions 505 to 796 of the family's 1533-position model. The record is from RNAcentral.
GUGCCAGCCGCCGCGGUACUACGGAGGGGGGUAGCGUUGUUCGGAAUUACUGGGCGUAAAGCGCACGUAGGCGGAUCAGAAAGUUGGGGGUGAAAUCCCGGGGCUCAACCCCGGAACUGCCUCCAAAACUACUGGUCUAGAGUUCGAGAGAGGUGAGUGGAAUUCCGAGUGUAGAGGUGAAAUUCGUAGAUAUUCGGAGGAACACCAGUGGCGAAGGCGGCUCACUGGCUCGAUACUGACGCUGAGGUGCGAAAGUGUGGGGAGCAAACAGGAUUAGAUACCUGGUAGUCC